GCUGGCGUAGCUCAAUUGGUAGAGCAACGGAUUUGUAAUCCGUAGGUUAUGGGUUCAAGUCCCUUCGCCAGCUCCA
This 76-nucleotide transfer RNA is filed under the name Magnetococcales bacterium. RNAcentral's name for it is "tRNA-Thr". It matches the Rfam family "tRNA". From Rfam's summary of the family: Transfer RNA (tRNA) molecules are approximately 80 nucleotides in length. Their secondary structure includes four short double-helical elements and three loops (D, anti-codon, and T loops). Further hydrogen bonds mediate the characteristic L-shaped molecular structure. tRNAs have two regions of fundamental functional importance: the anti-codon, which is responsible for specific mRNA codon recognition, and the 3' end, to which the tRNAs corresponding amino acid is attached (by aminoacyl-tRNA synthetases). tRNAs cope with the degeneracy of the genetic code in two manners: having more than one tRNA (with a specific anti-codon) for a particular amino acid; and 'wobble' base-pairing, i.e. permitting non-standard base-pairing at the 3rd anti-codon position. The record is from RNAcentral. Lineage: Bacteria; Pseudomonadati; Pseudomonadota; Magnetococcia; Magnetococcales.